AUUGAACGCUGGCGGUAGGCUUAACACAUGCAAGUCGAACGAACCUUCGGGUUAGUGGCGGACGGGUGAGUAACGCGUGAGAAUCUGCCCUCAGGAGGGGGAUAACGGCUGGAAACGGCCGCUAAUACCCCAUAUGCCGAGAGGUGAAAUGAAUUUCGCCUGAGGAUGAGCUCGCGUCUGAUUAGCUUGUUGGUGGGGUAAUGGCCUACCAAGGCGACGAUCAGUAGCUGGUCUGAGAGGAUGAUCAGCCACACUGGGACUGAGACACGGCCCAGACUCCUACGGGAGGCAGCAGUGGGGAAUUUUCCGCAAUGGGCGAAAGCCUGACGGAGCAACGCCGCGUGAGGGAUGAAGGCCUCUGGGCUGUAAACCUCUUUUAUCAAGGAAGAAGAUCUGACGGUACUUGAUGAAUAAGCCACGGCUAAUUCCGUG
RNAcentral lists this ribosomal RNA (432 nucleotides) under uncultured bacterium. RNAcentral's name for it is "bacterial SSU rRNA". It matches the Rfam family "Bacterial small subunit ribosomal RNA", at positions 30 to 507 of the family's 1533-position model. The record is from RNAcentral.